AUGUAUUUGGGCUCUUUUGCUAUCAAUGUUUAGUUGUUAGAUCUACACUUUGAUCAAUUUCAUCCUUUAAAUCGUACUAUUUAACCAACCACCUACUCAACCCUAGAAGGACCACUACGAAAUCCUAUGGGACCUCUAUCAUUCUAUCCCUACAAUUUUUAUCCAAGAGUUAGAAACUCGAUAGCAAAAAAUGUCAAAUACUAUAAAUAGUAUUCCAGCCCAAUUAUAUAUAUAUAGCUAAAUUAUAUAAAACCCUCCUGUCAAUACCCGCUUUUUCACAUCCCCCUCGUCAUUUAAAAAUCUAUACCUUACCUCUGUAAAAUGAAAAAUGUUCACAGGGGGAUACGGUGUGAACUGUGAUAACAAAAUGACCAAUUUGCCCCUCACCAUCUUCGUUUCCUCCCUUAUCUUGCUCAUCCGCUGCCUCGAUCGGCCGUGGUUCGUGCCUCGAUCAACCGCGGUUCUCUCCAUUUUCUUCUCCACCUGCUCCCCUUCUCUUCCUGCAUCCUCGUCGCCCCUCCAUUUCGGCAACAGUAGGGAGGAAAUUGAGGUGGGCGUAGAUUGAGAGGUGGGUAAGAAUAACGACGGUGAAGGCGAGGCGGUGGAGGAGGGCAAGGGGAUGUUUGUGGACACGGACAAAGAUGUAGGUGAGGGCGAGGCAGCAGAGAAGGGCGAGGCGGCAAGGCGGAGGAAGGCGAGGAGGCAGGAGAGGAGGCUGAGGGUAUUUUUGGUAUUAAAAAUAUAUAAUAAUAUUUUAUAAAGGGAACCCUAACGGGACACUAAUGACAGAAGGUGAAGUGAACAUUUUUUAUUUUACAAGAGAAUAAAGUGUAGGUUUUUAAAUAAUAGGGGAGGAAAGCGAAAAAGCGGGUAUUGGUAGGAAGAUUUUCUAUAAUUUAGUUUUUUUUUUGUCAUGAAAAA
Molecule: long non-coding RNA, 921 nt
Filed under: Ananas comosus (pineapple)
Lineage: Eukaryota; Viridiplantae; Streptophyta; Magnoliopsida; Poales; Bromeliaceae
Description: long non-coding RNA (ACOM_LNC012312)
Source: RNAcentral